This is a long non-coding RNA of Prinia subflava (tawny-flanked prinia), 847 nucleotides long. RefSeq lists it as uncharacterized. The record is from RefSeq and is a predicted model, not a curated record. NCBI's taxonomy places the organism in Eukaryota, Metazoa, Chordata, Aves, Passeriformes, Cisticolidae. The transcript is spliced from 4 exons.
ACACGGGUGUAGCUCUCAGCCAGGAGCAGGACCAGGAGGCACAUCACGUCAUGCUUGCUACACGAUAGCUACAUUUUUGGGACAAAAUCAUAGCUUCUCUAGUAAUUUUUCUUUCACAUUUACUACUCAAUGUCUUAGGUCAUUUGCUGCCACACAUAUAAAUGUCACAGCCACGGAACAGCCUUCCCGACACGUCACUUCUGACUGGCUUAGAGGUUCACCUGGCUUCUAACUCUGCUCACGCCGCACCGCAGGUACGGGGCUAAAGAGCUAGCCUACUCCUGGGGCGAAGGCGAAGCCAGGAAGAGGAUUUGAGUCUGAACAGGAGUGAUUCUCUCAGCCUUUCCUCAUGAUAGAGAUGCUCCAGUACCUCCAUCACCUUUGCAGUUCUCUGCUGGACCCACUCCAGGAGCUCCAUGUCCCUGUUGUGCUCCAGAAACCAGAACUGAGCACAGACUCCAGCACAGCCAAAAAAGGCACAGUAGGAAGACAGUGUCUGCAGUGCUCUGUCUCUGAUCUCCCCAGAGAUCAUCUGCCUUUCAGGAUGUGGCUCUCAACUGCACUGCAGCACCACUCACUAUCAGAGUCUAGAACCCACACCAAAAAAUAACAAACUGUUCUGCACUGUUCUGUUGGCCCUGACUUUGAAGCACUUGUGGCAGCACAGACAUCUGAAUCCUGCUGGGGUGACACUUUUGAGUGCAAUAGAGUUGGUGUCAUUAUGAUUGUGACAAACCAUCCAGACCUGCUCAGCUGCUGGUUAUAAUCACAUGCUGUGACCACUUCUCUUGCUAUUUGCAAACCCAUUGUUUGUGAAUGCUGGAAAAACAAAAAUAAAAAUUUGUUU